UGAGGUGUAGCGCAGUCUGGUCAGUGCAUCUGUUUUGGGUACAAAGGGCCAUAGGUUCGAAUCCUGUCACCUUGA
Triticum aestivum (bread wheat) is the source of this 75-nucleotide non-coding RNA. Lineage: Eukaryota; Viridiplantae; Streptophyta; Magnoliopsida; Poales; Poaceae. The record is from Rfam.